UAAGAGACUGAUCCUGUCUUAUUAAGAUUGUCUUAUUAAGUAAUUUAUUACAUGUGAGUUGUUGCGAGUUGUUAAGUUCUAAAUGAUUAAUAAUUGAAUAAUUGCAGUUUAUUGUUUUAUAAAUUUAAGGGGGCUUGGAUAUAGAUAACUUAUUACAAUUGUAUAAUGUUGUGCCAGCAUACGCGGUUACACAACUGAUUGAAGUUAAUCAUUAUUGGUGUUUAUUAAUUUGUUUAAUUGGAACAAGAUUUUAUAUUUUAUGGUGAAAUAUUAAAUUUAAAAGUUUUAUUUUUGGUUUAUGAUUAUAAGAAUAUUAAAAUUAAAACUAGGAUUAGAUACCCUAUUAUUUUAAUGGUAAGGAUAGCUAUGGGACUAAUAGAUAAGUUCUUUAAAUUAAAAGGAUUUGGCGGUAAUUUAGUCUUUUCAGAGGAACCUGUUGUGUAAUUGAUAAUCCACGUUAGUUUAGACUUUAAUUUUUGCUUAUAUACCUCUGUUAUUGAAUGUCUUAAAAGGGUAUUUUCUAUAAAUAUUAUUUAUUUAAUAUCAAGUCAAGGUGUAGCUAUAUUAAAGAAUUUAAUGGGUUACAUUUAAUUUAUUAAUUGGAUGGGUAUUAUGUUUAUCAUAAUUCUUUGAAAUAGGAUUUGAAAGUAAGUUUUAUUAAUUAAUAAAGUUGACUUUAAGCUCUAAAUUAUGUACAUAUCGCCCGUCGCUCUUGGGUUUAAACAAGAUAAGUCGUAACAAAGUAAUUUUACUGGAAAGUGAGGUUGAUUGAAA
RNAcentral lists this non-coding RNA (774 nucleotides) under Oxycarenus lugubris. The record is from RNAcentral. Lineage: Eukaryota; Metazoa; Arthropoda; Insecta; Hemiptera; Oxycarenidae.